AGUGAACGCUGGCGGUAGGCCUAACACAUGCAAGUCGAACGGCAGCACAGUAAGGGCUUGCUCUUACGGGUGGCGAGUGGCGGACGGGUGAGGAAUACAUCGGAAUCUACUUUUUCGUGGGGGAUAACGUAGGGAAACUUACGCUAAUACCGCAUACGACCUACGGGUGAAAGCAGGGGAUCUUCUGACCUUGCGCGAUUGAAUGAGCCGAUGUCGGAUUAGCUAGUUGGCGGGGUAAAGGCCCACCAAGGCGACGAUCCGUAGCUGGUCUGAGAGGAUGAUCAGCCACACUGGAACUGAGACACGGUCCAGACUCCUACGGGAGGCAGCAGUGGGGAAUAUUGGACAAUGGGCGCAAGCCUGAUCCAGCCAUACCGCGUGGGUGAAGAAGGACUUCGGGUUGUAAAGCCCUUUUGUUGGGAAAGAAAAGCAGCAGGUUAAUACCCCGCUGUUCUGACGGUACCCAAAGAAUAAGCACCGGCUAACUUCGUG
This 492-nucleotide ribosomal RNA is filed under the name uncultured bacterium. Its description in RNAcentral is "partial 16S ribosomal RNA". It matches the Rfam family "Bacterial small subunit ribosomal RNA", at positions 29 to 507 of the family's 1533-position model. The record is from RNAcentral.